ACAAACUUGGUCAUUUAGAGGAAGUAAAAGUCGUAACAAGGUUUCCGUAGGUGAACCUGCGGAAGGAUCAUUACAGUGCCCUGGGGACCGCACGUUUCUCCUUAACGGGGGGGACCGCGGUCUCCAACCAGGCCCCAACCGUGUCUAUCUGAACCUAGUUGCCUUGGCGGGCCCGUCGGGGUGAAUCCCGACCGCCGGGGGCGAGCCGCCGUGCUUCCCCGGGCCCGCGCCCGCCAAAGGAACCGUAUUGAACUCUUUGUCUAAGCUGGCUGUCUGAGUGGGAAUAAAUAAAGCAAAACUUUCAACAAUGGAUCUCUUGGUUCCGGCAUCGAUGAAGAACGCAGC
This 345-nucleotide unclassified non-coding RNA is filed under the name uncultured fungus. RNAcentral's name for it is "partial contains small subunit ribosomal RNA, internal transcribed spacer 1, and 5.8S ribosomal RNA". The stretch from base 1 to 73 matches the Rfam family "Eukaryotic small subunit ribosomal RNA", at positions 1759 to 1831 of the family's 1831-position model. The record is from RNAcentral. Lineage: Eukaryota; Fungi.